GAAUUUUUUGGUAGUUUGGUUCAACCAAAGUUGCAUAAUGCAUACUUUGAAUCCUUAGUUAUUUACAGUAUUGUCACCAACCAUAUAUUUACAUUACAUGAAAUAAAUAACUACCUCAUAUGCAGAAUGAAGAUUGAUUUACAAUAGAUGCCUAAGUUUCAACCCUACACCGUUUGAGACCGUUAUCCUGACUUCUAGUUGUUCCAGUGUCAUGAAAUUCCUUUCUCUUCAUAGGUGAAGUAAAGCAUGGUAAUACUUCAUAAUUACAACCUAAACAAACCAAAUAUCCCAAAUUAAACCUAAAUAAUCAAAUUAAAACAAAUCAAGCUCAAUUGUAGAGAGCUUACACAAACACUGUCUGUGUCCCUGAAUACCUAUAAUCUCAAUUGUUACAAUAUUAUCCUGGUAACUUUCAAAUUGAAGCAAUCAACCCUUGGCAAUUUAACAUUAACAUAUAGCAAUAUCCAUUGGUAACACAGAAAUGCAGUCUGUACCCGUACCAGCGGAGCAAAAACAGAAUUUAUUCACUAAUCAGAUCCUAUAAUUUUGUGGAUCAUUUGAUUUCAGCAAACACAUCCAAAGAAUUUG
This 588-nucleotide long non-coding RNA is filed under the name Trifolium pratense (red clover). Its description in RNAcentral is "long non-coding RNA (TPRA_LNC003761)". The record is from RNAcentral. Lineage: Eukaryota; Viridiplantae; Streptophyta; Magnoliopsida; Fabales; Fabaceae.